AUAGCAAUGCCUCCUCCCUUGGAGAUCUCAGCAGUUCCUUCUAAUAAAGCAAGACAGCUCCACUCAAGCUCCGGGAGCAGCGGGUUUAGAUGGGCACCGCUCUGGCUGAAUGAGUAGAUUAUUAGCCUUCAUGCUACCUCCAUGAGCGAGUGGGUAGGAGGCUUCACUGCCUGCUUUUCACAGAUGCACACGGCAGAUUCCAGAAACAUUACACCAUGGUCCUGCUCUUCUGAUGUUCAAGGUAGCAGAACAUCACACAUGAUCCAGCAGAGACUGCAGAACAUCACACAUGAUCCAGCAGAAGACGGCAGAACAUCACACAUGAUCCAGCAGAGACUGCAGAACAUCACACAUGAUCCAGCAGAGAGAGACUGACUGAGCAAGCCCUGUUGAGGACAUCUCCUGAAUGAGCCUCCAUAUUCUCCAUCCAGUUACCUAGGGGAUGACACCAUAGCCUGGGCCCUGCUGUACCCAGAGACAGAACAAGACAGAGCUGUGUCAUGAACAAAAAGUGUGAGCACAUGGUUGACUGGUUUUGAAGGCAUGAGGGAUACAAGAUUGAGGUGAUCCUGGAGUCUUGUUUUAUGGCUUUGGAGAGCAACUGAGGCCAGAAAGUCACUGAGAAGAGACCCUGAGAGGUCACUGUGUGAAGUUGCAAAGAUGAAGCCCAAAUCCAAUGACGGUGGAGAUGCCAGACUAGAGAGCAGCCACUAAGGAAAGCUACAGGCAUGAAAUGAAGCUGGUUUAAGAAGACGACUAUGUAUGCUGUGAGUCUUGGCAGAGCUUGAGAGAUGGGGGGCUACCUAAGCACUUCAGAGCCUAACCAGUUUCAUCAUGAGUCCAAGAUGCCAGACAUGGAGCCCCAGGCUUGGUUCCUCUUUGCUGAGCUUUGGACUUGCUUUGAUCUGUUCAUUGCUUACAGUGCUCAAGUUUCCCUAUUUUAAAAUAGGAUGGUUUGCUUUGUGCUCUUAUAUAUAUGAUUUAUAUGUAGGAAGCAUAUGACUUGUUGAAGAUAUUACAGGAAUUCAGUUAGGAGGUUGCUUUGCGUCUUGGGCGAGACUUGGAUUUUGUAGUCUUGAACAGUGCUGGGUCUUAUUAAAAGCUAUAGGGACUCCUGAGGUUGAACUGAAUAUAUUUUGUCUGACUCCAAGCUUAUGGAGUCAAACAUGAAAAGUUGUGCCUUAGAAGUUUAGGUGUCACACAGACAUGAGGUAGAGUCUCGGUGAUUGGUGUUAUCAAUUUGACAGGAUCUAGACCUACACAGGAGACAAGUUUCCAGGAACACACAUGAGGGGUUAUCUUGGGUGAGUGAAAAAGCUGGAAUGACCUACCCUAAGUGUGGGUGACACCAUUUUCUGCUCGGUCCUGAGCUGAAUAAAAUGGGGUGUGGCUAACUGAGCCUGAACAUUGCUGUUUCCUGACUGCACAUAUACUGUGCACCAAUUUGACCCACUGCCUCAGACACCUGCUGCCAGGUCUGCCCUACCAUCAUAGACUGCACCCUGAACUGGGAGCCAAAUGAACUCUUCCUUGCUCAGGUGAUUUUAGACAGGUGUUUUGUAGCAGCCAGCAAUACAGAUAUAGUUAUCGUUAAGCACUGUACGUUUAUCACAUUAAGACUGUUUGAAUUCUGGAGCUGCAGAGUUUCCCAAAUAGUACCCACCUUCGUGCCGAUGGUCCCAAAGAAUUACCUUUCUCCUCUAAAACCUCCCCCCUAAAUUAUAAAAUUUGACAACUUUUAUAGGCAAGUCUUGACAUCCAUUUUCUGUACUAACUUUCCCCAAUCUUUCUUUUCUCCUCUCAGUCUUUAUUUCUUCCUUAUUUUUGCAUUGCUGAAGCUUAGAACAUCUAUAGUCGAUUCUGAAAUUACAUUCCCCACCCUGUUUUUCAGUUGAAAUGAAAAUCUACAAAUCUUCACAGAGCAUUUGCAUAACUGUGACCCCCUGGACAUUUCAUCAAGCCAGGCCAGGUGAUUUGCAAACUUUGUGUUUCUUUCUUUGCCAGUUCAAGGUCAUGACCUCAGACACAUAAGAGAGUAUUGCAAACUGAUGAUAAAGUCCUUCCUUUUUUGAGACUGUUUUGAGAUAGAGUCUUCUUGUGUGACCUCACAUUCAGUCUUUACCAGAGUGUCCUUGAACUCAGGCUCCUUGACCUACCUCUUUUCUGUACUGGGGUUAAAGAGUCUAUCACUGCACAGUGGGGUUGCCUCUCAUCUUGUAUAGUUGAUCACAGCUGUACUUUCUUUUUAUUUUUGUUCUUAUUUUGACCCUGAUUGUCUUUUCAUGCAUUUUAGAUAGCUCCUUUUCCCUAUUAGUGACAAGAAAAAAUGGACUUUUACAUUGUGGUCUCAGUAUCAUGCAUUCUGUUCAUGUGUCUUGGUUAAGGUUUUACUGCU
This is a long non-coding RNA of Mus musculus (house mouse), 2395 nucleotides long. RefSeq annotates it as predicted gene, 36019. NCBI's taxonomy places the organism in Eukaryota, Metazoa, Chordata, Mammalia, Rodentia, Muridae. The record is from RefSeq and is a predicted model, not a curated record. The transcript has 4 exons.